GACCCUUUGGCGCAGCGGAUAGCGCGUUGGACUUCUAAUCCAAAGGUCGCGGGUUCGAUCCCCGCAAGGGUUG
Molecule: transfer RNA, 73 nt
Organism: Drosophila busckii
Lineage: Eukaryota; Metazoa; Arthropoda; Insecta; Diptera; Drosophilidae
Rfam family: tRNA
About the family: Transfer RNA (tRNA) molecules are approximately 80 nucleotides in length. Their secondary structure includes four short double-helical elements and three loops (D, anti-codon, and T loops).
Source: Rfam